GACGAACGCUGGCGGCGCGCCUAACACAUGCAAGUCGAACGAGAGAUGAGGAGCUUGCUUCCUCAAUCGAGUGGCGAACGGGUGAGUAACGCGUGAGGAACCUGCCUCAAAGAGGGGGACAACAGUUGGAAACGACUGCUAAUACCGCAUAAGCCCACAGCUCGGCAUCGAGCAGAGGGAAAAGGAGCAAUCCGCUUUGAGAUGGCCUCGCGUCCGAUUAGCUAGUUGGUGAGGUAACGGCCCACCAAGGCGACGAUCGGUAGCCGGACUGAGAGGUUGAACGGCCACAUUGGGACUGAGACACGGCCCAGACUCCUACGGGAGGCAGCAGUGGGGAAUAUUGCACAAUGGGGGAAACCCUGAUGCAGCGACGCCGCGUGGAGGAAGAAGGUCUUCGGAUUGUAAACUCCUGUUGUUGAGGAAGAUAAUGACGGUACUCA
RNAcentral lists this ribosomal RNA (440 nucleotides) under uncultured bacterium. Its description in RNAcentral is "bacterial SSU rRNA". It matches the Rfam family "Bacterial small subunit ribosomal RNA", at positions 28 to 481 of the family's 1533-position model. The record is from RNAcentral.